UGGGGAAUAUUGGACAAUGGGCGAAAGCCUGAUCCAGCCAUGCCGCGUGUGUGAAGAAGGCCUUUUGGUUGUAAAGCACUUUAAGCGGGGAGGAGGGCACUGUGGUUAAUACCCAUGGAUGUCGGACGUUACCCGCAGAAUAAGCACCGGCUAACUCUGUGCCAGCAGCCGCGGUAAUACAGAGGGUGCGAGCGUUAAUCGGAAUUACUGGGCGUAAAGCGCGCGUAGGCGGCUUGUUAAGUCAAAUGUGAAAUCCCCGAGCUAACUUGGGCAUUGCAUUCGAUACUGGCAAGCUAGAGUAUGGGAGAGGAAGGUAGAAUUCCAGGUGUAGCGGUGAAAUGCGUUAGAGAUCUGGAGGAAUACCGAUGGCGAAGGCAGCCUUCUGGCCUAAUACUGACGCUGAGGUGCGAAAAGCAUGGGGAGC
RNAcentral lists this ribosomal RNA (424 nucleotides) under uncultured Alkanindiges sp. RNAcentral's name for it is "bacterial SSU rRNA". It matches the Rfam family "Bacterial small subunit ribosomal RNA", at positions 355 to 769 of the family's 1533-position model. Lineage: Bacteria; Pseudomonadati; Pseudomonadota; Gammaproteobacteria; Moraxellales; Moraxellaceae. The record is from RNAcentral.